AGAGAGAGACAUGCGCGCAUAUCAAUAAGCGGAGGAAAAGAAACUAACUAAGGAUUCCCCUCAGUAACGGCGAGUGAAGCGGGAAGAGCUCAAAUUUGAAAUCUUAAAGGGUUUCCCUUUACGAAUUGUAGUUUAAAGAAGUGUUUUCUGUUGGAGUUUUGGUAAAAGUUCUUUGGAAUAGGACAUCAUAGAGGGUGAGAAUCCCGUAUUUGACCAUUAUUUCCAGCUUUGUGAUACACUUUCAGAGAGUCGGAUUGUUUGGGAAUGCAGUCCAAAAUGGGUGGUAAAUUUCAUCUAAAGCUAAAUAUUGGCGAGAGACCGAUAGCGAACAAGUACCGUGAGGGAAAGAUGAAAAGAACUUUGAAAAGAGAGUUAAACAGUACGUGAAAUUGUCAAAAGGGAAGCGUUUGACACCAGUGUUGUUUUCUCGAAAAUCAAUUAAAAAGAGUUAGAUUUUGUUGUGUAUUGACCUUAACAGCUUGCAUUUCAAUUUUCUUGCUGUUUUUAAUGCACUUUUCGUUUAACAAGUCAACAUCAGUUUCUUUUGUUGUAAAAGGGUCAUUGGAAGGUGGCUUUCUUUUCGGAGAAAGUGUUUAUAGCCUUUGGCCUCUGCAAUCGGAGAGAUUGAGGUCUGCAGCGUAGAUCCUUCGGGGUUAGAUACAUUUGUGCUAAGUUAUAGCCUUUCAUAGACAACUUGUUGACUAUGAUCAGUCAUGUAGCUUACUCGCUUAUGCUAUUUUACCUACGCUUAGGAUGUUGAUGUGAUACUGCGAGCA
This 776-nucleotide ribosomal RNA is filed under the name uncultured Neocallimastigales. RNAcentral describes it as "partial large subunit ribosomal RNA". It matches the Rfam family "Eukaryotic large subunit ribosomal RNA", at positions 23 to 629 of the family's 3401-position model. Lineage: Eukaryota; Fungi; Neocallimastigomycota; Neocallimastigomycetes; Neocallimastigales. The record is from RNAcentral.